RNAcentral lists this ribosomal RNA (439 nucleotides) under uncultured bacterium. Its description in RNAcentral is "partial 16S ribosomal RNA". It matches the Rfam family "Bacterial small subunit ribosomal RNA", at positions 339 to 795 of the family's 1533-position model. The record is from RNAcentral.
CUACGGGGCGCUCCAGUGAGGAAUAUUGCACAAUGGAGGAAACUCUGAUGCAGCAACGCCGCGUGGAGGAUGACGCAUUUCGGUGUGUAAACUCCUUUUAUAUGUCAAGAAAAUGACGGUAGCAUAUGAAUAAGCUCCGGCUAACUCCGUGCCAGCAGCCGCGGUAAUACGGAGGGAGCAAGCGUUACUCGGAAUCACUGGGCGGAAAGGACGCGUAGGCGGGAUAGAAAGUCAGGUGUGAAAUCCUAUGGCUCAACCAUAGAACUGCACUUGAAACUUCUAACCUAGAGUAUGGGAGGGGAAGAUGGAAUUAGUGGUGUAGGGGUAAGAUCCGUAGAUAUCACUAGGAAUACCAAAAGCGAAGGCGAUCUUCUGGAACAAUACUGACGCUAAGGCGUGAAAGCGUGGGGAGCAAACAGGAUUAGAUACCCUCGUAGUC